Long non-coding RNA from Dermochelys coriacea (leatherback sea turtle), 493 nucleotides. RefSeq lists it as uncharacterized. The record is from RefSeq and is a predicted model, not a curated record. The transcript is spliced from 3 exons. NCBI's taxonomy places the organism in Eukaryota, Metazoa, Chordata, Testudines, Dermochelyidae.
CUCCCCGCAUCGCGACACUGAACGUGCCUCCCCCGCAGCAACCGCACGCCACGGGGAUGUCCGUAACCGGAGCUUAGGGGGCGCAGUGACCCUGCCAAGGGCUAACGCCAGACCUCCUCCUAAGGCAAGCAAAGACUAUCUGAUUCUUUCGCAUAUAGGAAGCAGUCACACCUUUUAAAAAAAGUUACUUUGCUGCAGGAAAGCUGAGCCAGAGUCCGUAAUUACACUGAAUAUGCUCAUUCCACUUUCUUAGGGGAAAGGAGUACCACAGCCAUAGAAACGCCCAAUGCUCUGCCUCCUGUCAGCCCCUCUAAACAGCAAUGUUAUUGCCAGUUCAUAGGGCUAUUGUAAGCAUGCUGCUGCGGGUAGGAGCGUACUCAAGUGAACAAGAGCGAGCUGUGGCCGAGGUACUCAGACUCCAGAAGGACAGUCAAAACUCAAAACCGUUCACCCAAUAGAUGUGCAAUAGAGGAAGGAGUUGCAGGAAGAAGAU